UACGGGGGGGGCAGCGUUGUUCGGAAUUACUGGGCGUAAAGGCUCGUAGGCGGCCAACUAGUCGGAUGUGAAAUCCCCAGGCUUAACCUGGGAACUGCAUCCGAUACUGGAUGGCUUGAAUCCGGGAGAGGGAUGCAGAAUUCCAGGUGUAGCGGUGAAAUGCGUAGAUAUCUGGAGGAAUACCGGUGGCGAAGGCGGCAUCCUGGACCGGCAUUGACGCUGAUGAGCGAAAAGCUAGGGGGAGCAAACGGGG
Molecule: ribosomal RNA, 253 nt
Filed under: uncultured bacterium
Lineage: Bacteria
Description: partial 16S ribosomal RNA
Rfam family: Bacterial small subunit ribosomal RNA
Source: RNAcentral